UACGGAGGGUGCAAGCGUUAAUCGGAAUUACUGGGCGUAAAGCGCACGCAGGCGGUCUGUCAAGUCGGAUGUGAAAUCCCCGGGCUCAACCUGGGAACUGCAUUCGAAACUGGCAGGCUAGAGUACGGUAGAGGGUGGUGGAAUUUCCUGUGUAGCGGUGAAAUGCGUAGAUAUAGGAGGAACACCCGUGGCGAAGGCGGCCACCUGGACCAGUACUGACACUGAGGCACGAAAGCGUGGGGAGCAAACAGG
RNAcentral lists this ribosomal RNA (252 nucleotides) under uncultured bacterium. Its description in RNAcentral is "partial 16S ribosomal RNA". It matches the Rfam family "Bacterial small subunit ribosomal RNA", at positions 524 to 776 of the family's 1533-position model. The record is from RNAcentral.